CCUACGGGAGGCAGCAGUGAGGAAUAUUUGUCAAUGGCCGUAAGGCUGAACCAGCGAAGUCGCGUGAAGGAAGAAGGAUCUUUGGUUUGUAAACUUCUUUCAUAGGGGAACAAAGGUAUCCACGUGUGCAUAUUUGCAUGUACCCUAUGAAUAAGCAUCGGCGAACUCCGUGCCAGCAGCCGUGGUAAUACGGAGGAUGCGAGCGUUAUCCGGAUUCAUUGGGUUUAAAGGGUGCGUAGGUUGUUUUUUAAGUCAGCGGUGAAAGUUUGGGGCUCAACCAUAAGAUUGCCGUUGAAACUGGAAGACUUGAGUGUGUUUGGGGUAGUCGGAAUUCGUGGUGUAGCAGUGAAAUGCGUAGAUAUCGCGAGGAACCCCGAUUGCGAAGGCAGCUUACUAGACUGUGACUGACGUUGAUGCUCGAAGGUGAGGGGAUCAAACGGGAUUAGAUACCCGUGUAGUC
Molecule: ribosomal RNA, 460 nt
Filed under: uncultured bacterium
Lineage: Bacteria
Description: partial 16S ribosomal RNA
Rfam family: Bacterial small subunit ribosomal RNA
Source: RNAcentral